RNAcentral lists this RNase P RNA (229 nucleotides) under Escherichia coli. Its description in RNAcentral is "partial RNase P RNA component class A". It matches the Rfam family "Bacterial RNase P class A", at positions 1 to 205 of the family's 367-position model. Rfam says of the family: Ribonuclease P (RNase P) is a ubiquitous endoribonuclease, found in archaea, bacteria and eukarya as well as chloroplasts and mitochondria. Its best characterised activity is the generation of mature 5'-ends of tRNAs by cleaving the 5'-leader elements of precursor-tRNAs. Lineage: Bacteria; Pseudomonadati; Pseudomonadota; Gammaproteobacteria; Enterobacterales; Enterobacteriaceae. The record is from RNAcentral.
GAAGCUGACCAGACAGUCGCCGCUUCGUCGUCGUCCUCUUCGGGGGAGACGGGCGGAGGGGAGGAAAGUCCGGGCUCCAUAGGGCAGGGUGCCAGGUAACGCCUGGGGGGGAAACCCACGACCAGUGCAACAGAGAGCAAACCGCCGAUGGCCCGCGUAAGCGGGAUCAGGUAAGGGUGAAAGGGUGCGGUAAGAGCGCACCGCGCGGCUGGUAACAGUCCGUGGCACG